RNAcentral lists this small nuclear RNA (21 nucleotides) under Arabidopsis thaliana (thale cress). RNAcentral describes it as "snRNA_03065". The record is from RNAcentral. Lineage: Eukaryota; Viridiplantae; Streptophyta; Magnoliopsida; Brassicales; Brassicaceae.
ACAAAACAAGAGAAGGUUAUA